This 255-nucleotide long non-coding RNA is filed under the name Elaeis guineensis (African oil palm). RNAcentral's name for it is "long non-coding RNA (EGUI_LNC031241)". The record is from RNAcentral. Lineage: Eukaryota; Viridiplantae; Streptophyta; Magnoliopsida; Arecales; Arecaceae.
CAUUUGUUUGGGCCAUACGAUUUUUGUGGGCUGGGUUCAAGCUCCUUUCAAGUCCAGUUGAAAGGAAGGAAACAGUUUCCCUCCAUAAUGCCCAGGUUGCAUCUAAAAAUUUUCUCUAAUAUCUACUUGUUUAAUGAUCAAAUCUUUACCUGAAUCAUAGCAGAACCAAGGAUCAAAUUCCAAAUUAUCUCAUAUAAACCUUCGUGGAGGUCUGGAUAUGCAGACCCUCUACUUCACAUGCACGUCAGACGCUGC